Molecule: non-coding RNA, 82 nt
Organism: Clathrus columnatus
Lineage: Eukaryota; Fungi; Basidiomycota; Agaricomycetes; Phallales; Clathraceae
Source: the annotation of a GenBank genome assembly
UCCAUGAUGGUGUAAUGGCUAACAUCGCUGUCUUUCAAAUCUCAUUUCACAGCAGCUCGGGGUUCGAUUCCCCGUCAUGGAA